AUUGAACGCUGGCGGAAUGCUUUACACAUGCAAGUCGAGCGGCAGCGCGGGGGCAACCCUGGCGGCGAGCGGCGAACGGGUGAGUAACACAUCGGAACGUACCCUUUUGUGGGGGAUAACGAGUCGAAAGAUUCGCUAAUACCGCAUAAGACCUGAGGGUGAAAGCGGGGGACUCGCAAGAGCCUCGCGCGAAAGGCGCGGCCGGUGUCGGAUUAGCUGGUUGGUGGGGUAAAGGCUCACCAAGGCGACGAUCCGUAGCGGGUCUGAGAGGACGGCCCGCCACACUGGGACUGAGACACGGCCCAGACUCCUACGGGAGGCAGCAGUGGGGAAUUUUGGACAAUGGGGGCAACCCUGAUCCAGCCAUUCCGCGUGAGUGAAGAAGGCCUUCGGGUUGUAAAGCUCUUUCGGCAGGGACGAAACGGGCGAGGCGAACAACCUUGCUUACUGACGGUACCUGAAGAAGAAGCACCGGCUAACUACGUGCCAGCAGCCGCCGUAAAAC
This 505-nucleotide ribosomal RNA is filed under the name uncultured bacterium. RNAcentral's name for it is "bacterial SSU rRNA". It matches the Rfam family "Bacterial small subunit ribosomal RNA", at positions 29 to 526 of the family's 1533-position model. The record is from RNAcentral.